RNAcentral lists this microRNA (22 nucleotides) under Hyalella azteca. RNAcentral's name for it is "miR-313". The record is from RNAcentral. Lineage: Eukaryota; Metazoa; Arthropoda; Malacostraca; Amphipoda; Hyalellidae.
UGCUGCGGAUGGGGGCAUACGU